UACGGAGGAUCCGAGCGUUAUCCGGAUUUAUUGGGUUUAAAGGGUGCGCAGGCGGGAGAUUAAGUCGGCGGUGAAAUUUUGCAGCUCAACUGUAAAAGUGCCUUCGAAACUGGUUUCCUUGAGUGUGGAUGAAGUAGGCGGAAUUUGUGGUGUAGCGGUGAAAUGCAUAGAUAUCACGAGGAACUCCGAUUGCGCAGGCAGCUUACUAAACCAUAACUGACGCUCAGGCACGAAGGCGUGGGGAUCAAACAGGAUUAGAUACCCGUGUAGU
Molecule: ribosomal RNA, 271 nt
Filed under: uncultured prokaryote
Description: partial 16S ribosomal RNA
Rfam family: Bacterial small subunit ribosomal RNA
Source: RNAcentral